UUCCUUAGUACCGUGGCUACCACGCCUAC
Molecule: small RNA, 29 nt
Filed under: Bombyx mori (domestic silkworm)
Lineage: Eukaryota; Metazoa; Arthropoda; Insecta; Lepidoptera; Bombycidae
Description: ovarian small RNA-37348
Source: RNAcentral